AGGCAAAGCAUAUUUACUUGUUGAGCUUGGCUCUACCAUGCUACGUAAGGCGAUUUAACUUAAUUCCUCUCUUGUACCUAUAAAAAUUAAAAUCAUAUCAGGUCACCAGCUUCUGUCCAGCAAUUCAAUUCUGAACUGAGGAAGAUAUUACACAUUUUUCAGAUCGAAUAUUACUUUAUUUAGUACCGCAAUUUAUUCGGUGCGUGCGUGCGUUACAGCGAUCCAGAAUGGCAGAGCAAAUUUUGAAAGGACCACGCCACCAGCACAUAAAAAUACCAUUUUCAUAACUCCUAGAAUUUCCGGCAUAACUGUUAGUUAAUCCUGGUGCUUUUAUUCAACGUAAAAUACCACGUUAUCAUACGGUAUUCUCAUAGUGCACCCUACACUCGCGCGCGCAUUGUACCUAUCUACCUACAUUUCGUAGAUAAGCGAAACAAAAGCCCUCCUUCAAAAGGGAUAGUGGAAAAAUCCAGGAGAUAAUGAGUGUAUUAUCAGUUUGUAUAACGAAAUGAAUGCUUUGUCACAAAUGGGAUCUGCCUGCCAAAUUCCAAUAGAUUUUUUUACCAAAACAGUCUUUUAAAAGAGCUGUAUUUACCUAGGUUGUAAACGUUUAGAGUAAAUACCAUGAUGAACUGUGCCUCUACCAUGAGUUGCCAUCGAAAACUUGUAUUCGUAUACUACAGUCGAUAGAGUUUAAACGUGGAUCGAUGAAGUUUGCAUUAAAAUCAUACCAUGAGUUCAAUUACCGUAUACUUUACUCGCCAGCGAUAAUUCGAUGGUUUUGUGAUGUUAUGUUGGUGAACAUGUUAACGUAUCCAACUUCACACUCUAUGAAUGGAUGAAUGAAAGAACGAAUGCCGCUCCUUUCUAACUAUAUAGAAAAGAUAGAGUAGGAAAUAACAAAAAUGUCAAAAAUAACACUGCAAAAUUUAAGUGUCCUAGAACAGUGCUUAAAGCUGAAUUAACAUGAUGAUUUUAAAUUUGUAUUGUUUAUUUCUUGUCAUUGCGACUUUGACGCAGCUGUUGUCAUGACAACAGAUAACAAAACAUGUUUUGUUGAAGGAUUAUUGAUGAAUAAUUUUCCACAAAAAAUUGGAUUUUAACCACGAUAGGAAAAUGAGAACCUGCGACUAUCCGUUUAAACCGAUUGUAGAAUUUAUGGAAAGAUAUGGCGAUCUGAGUAAGCCCACUGAAGGGCCCCAAGAAAGAGCCAACAAUAGUCAACAGUGGGUGGAACUAACGGACACGCGAACGUGAAAUGCUGAUGCCACUGGCGACACGAAAACUACUGACAAAUUGAGAAAAGUGUGGAGUGACUUUAAACAUCAAGAAGAAGGCAACUCGCAUACACAGAGCUGCCAAGGGAACACUGGACUGGUGGCGGUCCAGGUUCUACCCUGAAGCCAAAGGAUU
Ostrinia nubilalis (European corn borer) is the source of this 1413-nucleotide long non-coding RNA. RefSeq lists it as uncharacterized. NCBI's taxonomy places the organism in Eukaryota, Metazoa, Arthropoda, Insecta, Lepidoptera, Crambidae. The record is from RefSeq and is a predicted model, not a curated record. The transcript is spliced from 3 exons.